CACUAAAAAGCUAAACUGGGAGUAGCGUUAGCCUUUUAAGCUAAAAACUGGUGACCCCCUACCACCUUUAGUGA
RNAcentral lists this transfer RNA (74 nucleotides) under Bathylychnops exilis (javelin spookfish). RNAcentral's name for it is "tRNA-Lys". It matches the Rfam family "tRNA". Rfam says of the family: Transfer RNA (tRNA) molecules are approximately 80 nucleotides in length. Their secondary structure includes four short double-helical elements and three loops (D, anti-codon, and T loops). The record is from RNAcentral. Lineage: Eukaryota; Metazoa; Chordata; Actinopteri; Argentiniformes; Opisthoproctidae.